Molecule: long non-coding RNA, 351 nt
Organism: Cucumis sativus (cucumber)
Lineage: Eukaryota; Viridiplantae; Streptophyta; Magnoliopsida; Cucurbitales; Cucurbitaceae
Exons: 2
Source: RefSeq, a predicted model, not a curated record
UGGGAAAUGGGUAGGGUCUCAGAAGGAGGGAAAAAAUUUAGGCGCGAGAGAAGCCAUUAGAGAAAUGUGAAAAAAGCUUAAAAAGCAUAAGUAGUGGAAAAGGAAAGAAGCGAAUCAUGGGGAAGAGAAAUCGAGAUAAUAUGGAUUAAGAUAUCGUUGAUUUUGAUCAGUUGAAUAUUGAUGGUCCAUCAGAUGUAGGAGGAACGUUUUCUUGAGUUUGAAAUAAGUUCUCGGCAUGUAUGGUGGUUUUAGCAGAGGAAUGUGGUUGAAAGGAAUCUAAGGAAGGAGAAGUCACUCGAGAGAGAAAAUAUGUUGGAAUCAUUUUUAUAAAUAACUUUCUAGCUUUAUCAA